Small nucleolar RNA from Rattus norvegicus (Norway rat), 132 nucleotides. Ensembl annotates it as small nucleolar RNA SNORA17. The record is from Ensembl. NCBI's taxonomy places the organism in Eukaryota, Metazoa, Chordata, Mammalia, Rodentia, Muridae.
CCUGCCCCUAGAGGUCUUGUAGAUGUGGCUGCCAUGUCACAUGUGCGUCAGUAGGCAGCAGAGAGGGGAAAAGCUACAUGUAUGAUCAAUGUUCUGACCUAUAAACAUCUGAAUGAUUACUCACAUAAUAUU